CCUACGGGAGGCAGCAGUGGGGAAUAUUGCACAAUGGGGGAAACCCUGAUGCAGCAACGCCGCGUGAGUGAAGAAGUCUUUCGGUAUGUAAAGCUCUAUCAGCAGGGAAGAAGAUGACGGUACCUGAAUACUAAGCCCCGGCUAAAUACGGGACAGCAGCCGCGGUAAUACGUAGGGGGCAGGCGUUAUCCGGAUUUACUGGGUGUAAAGUGAGCGCAGACGGCAGGGCAAGUCUGGUGUGAAAGCCCGGGGCCCAACCCCGGAACUGCUCUGGAAACUGUGAGGCUAGAGUACUGGAGGGGCGGGCGGAAUUCCUAGUGUAGCGGUGAAAUGCGUAGAGAUUAGGAGGAACACCAGUGGCGAAGGCGGCCUGCUGGACAGUAACUGACGUUGAGGCUCGAAAGCGUGGGGAGCAAACAGGAUUAGAUACCCCUGUAGUC
This 440-nucleotide ribosomal RNA is filed under the name uncultured bacterium. RNAcentral describes it as "partial 16S ribosomal RNA". It matches the Rfam family "Bacterial small subunit ribosomal RNA", at positions 338 to 795 of the family's 1533-position model. The record is from RNAcentral.